Molecule: non-coding RNA, 3671 nt
Organism: Pelobates cultripes (western spadefoot toad)
Lineage: Eukaryota; Metazoa; Chordata; Amphibia; Anura; Pelobatidae
Source: the annotation of a GenBank genome assembly
CUGUCUUUUCCCUUUGUGGUGUGACAUAGCAGGCUAUUGCUGUGUGAUAGUGCCUGUCACUCACGGAGCUAACAGCACAUGCGACUUCUCUCCUCCGAGGUCAGGACAAGCCCCCCAGUUUUUAAUUUUUUGAGACAACCUAAUUUGCACAAGGAAAUAAAGAAUUGUGCUAUAGACGAUGAAGUCAGACAAAUGGCCAAUGUUGGGAUAUAAUGGUGAGCAUGUUCUUGCUCUUAUCUUGAAUAGCAACAGGCACUUAAACUAAAGUAAAUGUUUUUAUUAAUGUGAUUACUAGUCAAUGAAUCCAAAUGGGAAUAUAUGCUGAUUUAGCCUUGCAAUGAUUACUAAUACAGUCAACACAACACUAAAUAUGAGAGAGCGGUAUUCCACAGCAUGUAACUGUUGGAGAUGUUCGAGAAACGUACUAUUUGUGAUUUAUUUAUUUUUUUAUCUGUAGUUUACCUAACAAUUUAUAGAAUUGAAAUUGAAAUGAAAAACAAACACUGUAACUGUGCCAUUGCACAAAUCUUCUGGAACAAAAAUGAGGGUAAAUCUCAAAAAUGUUUGGACUUGCUCUGCUUGUGUUAUGGGUUUCACUUUCAGAUUCAUGUACUCCUAUUUGUCUCUUGGAUAAUGGAAAAUGGUUUGAGAAAAUUUAAGUCAUCAUAAUGUAUGAUACUCUGGGAAAAUGUUUCAGACUGGAAAGUGUUCAAGGAAAAUUAAGAUCUGAAUAUCUAUUUAAAGAAAAGAAACAAAAGGAAAAUACUUUAGUUGCUCCAGGCUAAUAGUAUAAAAUUCCUUGGUUUACUAGUAAGAAUGGACUGAAGUAUUGAAUUAUUUUAAUUUCUGUUAUUCUAAACCUAUCACAAGAUCACUUUUUUAAAUUUUAAUCAUUUUUGAUGGGUAUAAGCAAAUUUAAGAAUGUAUUGAUUAUUUGACAUAUGGUUCAACAAAAUAGCCCUCUGGGUCCCCUAAAAUCUUGGUUCAGUGGUGGUACCCCAACAUGAAGACCCCUUCAUGAGUACUGAUGCCUUGGUGAUGGUAAGAAAUGGACAGACAAAAAGUAUUUUGAAAUAAGAGACUGAACUGAAGGCAUGUAUGUGGGUAAUAACAAAAUGAACUACAAAGACCAAAAAGGAAUAAAAACACUUUGAAAAACUAAAACAAAACAGAGAGAGAUUCCCUUAAGAACACAAACACUUGGAACCCCUUGUGGUUGGAUCAGAGAGGCUAUUCUAGGUCAAAGAUCAUCAUGGUACAAUGUCCCCUAAAAAGACACAAGUUGACAUCUGAUCAGCUGCACAGGAGUGAUUUAACAGUCUUCUGGUUGGUUCAUAGUGUGCUCAGGAAAACUGUGAAGAUUUGAUUCUUUUUAUAUUUAUUUAUAAGCAUUUUCUUAUGUUGCGGCACAGUUGGACACCAACUUUGCUUCAUGUGUUCCGUUGUCCUUUUUUAUGUGAAAUAAAUGCAGCCAUAAUAACAAAAAUUAAGACGAUAAUCUUUCUAGACCAUUGCGGGUCAGAUUGACCUCAAUAAUUACUUUUUUUCCACCAAUAUAUUUUUAGUUUGCUUAAGUUUAAUUGCUGCUGGUCAAGCCAACAUUUGCCUUAAUUGCUUUGCAACUGAUGAUGUAUGUCAGGAGUACAAAGCCUCGAAGAUCUGUUAUGUACAGAUGGGUCAUGUACUAAAAUGAUAUAAGCAUGAGUAGAGAAGAUACAUGUGUAGCAACCUGCCUGGCAUAGCAGUUCUGGUCUGGUCGUUUUGGUGGAAUCAGUCUGAUAGACAAAUGGUAUAGAUUCUCCCUGUAAUGGCACAAGUGGACUAAAGCAUAUUUUCAUAUCCAAUAAAAAAUGAUGACGUAAAUACAUACGGUAUAUUAGGAAAGAAAAUAAACCCAAAACAGCUAGAUCUACAGAAAUUAGCCCUGCACUGAACCCCACCACUAUUUACACUUUAUAGCCUUUGUAGUGGUCUUAUUUAAAUGUGUAUUAGGAUUAUGUACUUAAAGGGGCACUUUUUUUUAAAAACUUAUCUAUAAGAAUAGGUAGGGACUACGCAAAAGUCUUUGCUGCUUUAAGCACCUCAAUUCCUUUUUUGACUGUAUUUAUAACGAUAAUGGGCCAAGCGUAUUAAUGGUUUAUGAGAGGGCAAGUAUUUCCAGAGUGGAUGCAUGAAUGUAGUACAUCAGCGCAUUAAUGUGUGAAUUAAUAUAUAGUUUGAAUGUACCAAUGAUGUCAAAAUCUCUGUUCAGUCCAGUAUUAAUAGCCUAGAUGUUAUGGAGCAGAAUCACAGCUCAGCUUAAUAUUUAAGGCCUUGCUUUGCACACACAAUCUGCUUUCAGUGUAAUAAAUUCAAAUCAACUUUACUUUAACACAUUGUGAUAUGGUACAAGCAUGUGAUAAGUCUUUGUUUCACAACAGGGGAAUUCAAGACAGGAGGGGAAAAGCAAAAACAUUGACAACUAACAGUUAUGAUGCCGAAUGAAUACGAUCCCAGGCAGAGGCAGGUAACGCGUGAUCGCUGCUGUAAAUAAGAACGGAUUCUUCCAUUCUCUUCAAUCCCAUCAGACUCUUUCAGACAGAAAGGAAACCAGGAAAAUAGCUCAUUUGAGCGUAUUGUGGCUAAACUUGUUUCAAAAUAAGCAACAGAAAGUUGGACAGAGUUCAAAUAUUUAGCUGCUCUAACAUUGCUUAUGACUUGCCAAACUCUGUACGGGCAGAUUUUCGUCUGGGGUCAUAUCAGAGUCAGAGGUUGUAUCCAGGUGAAAGUGCUGGCUCGCAUUACUUUUUGGUUAACCUGGCAUUGAAAUGGUCAGUUAACCCUCUCGCUUCUGGAUAAAACUGAAAGAUCUAGCUCACAAAGUCUCCAAGGAGGAAUGGGGGUAUCAAUCUGAUAUCCGGCCCUCAAAAGGUGCCACGUAAGAGACCAUUGUAAUCUAAAACAACAUAUAUAUGAAUACUGCAAACCUUUUUUUUUUUUUUUCUUCAAGAAUGUUUAAUGUUAAAUUUAAUGCAUAAUUUACCAUAAACCAUGUCAUAUUUUACAUUAUAAUUCGGUAAGAUUUAAUAAGGUCACGCUGGAAGCAUGAAAUAUGCUGGUUUACAGCUUAAAAUAUUUAUCAUGUUCCAACUACUCUACUAUUCUUUAUAUUUUUCACAUGCUAUUUAUUUAUGGUACUUGGGCGAUGUUGUUUAAAACUCUUUAUAAUAUACGCAUACAAGAAAAAAACAACACAUAGGAAUAUAAAGACACUGACGAGAAUAAAUUAAAAGACUGUUCAAUAACAUUUCCUUUUGUUUCCCUUUUUGGGGUGGGUUAGUUUUGCGCUGGAGAUGAUCACGCUACGCAGGGACCCCUCAAUCACAUACUGCUGGGAUAUAAAACUGUUAUUGAAAUCCUUAACUAUCCUGACUCCUUGUGUUGGCAUUGCAGCCAACAUAGUUGUAUUUAAAUAGUGAGUACUGGCAUAGCUGCUAGAAUAGUGGUACAUGAAUUUUUCCUUAUUCCAGCCAUUUUAAUCCGCCACAAUCCAUACUAUGAUUAAAUAAUAAUGCGCUAUAUGGUGUUUUUUUUUUUUUUGCACCCCACAUCAAGUUUGUGUGAACAAAGGGUAUUUAAAUCCUGGUGACCUUAAAAAUGACACAUGAGAUUAGAAAAAAAAAUAUUCCUAC